CCACUCUUAGGAUUGCAUCUGGAGAGUUUCCAGUACUCUACCAGUCUCGGCUAUGGGAGGGAGAGUCAAGCAGAGGCCUACCCAUUCCAUUCCUAGCUUGGGCAGUGGCUAGCAGUGGGAGGCCAUUUGCUACAAGU
RNAcentral lists this small nucleolar RNA (137 nucleotides) under Ornithorhynchus anatinus (platypus). The record is from RNAcentral. Lineage: Eukaryota; Metazoa; Chordata; Mammalia; Monotremata; Ornithorhynchidae.